AAUCAGAAUUUCCAGAAUUGGGGUUCAGAAAAGGAGCAUCAAGUAAGUAAGCAUCUUGGUAAUUCUUAAGUCUACUCAAGUUUGCAAAUCACCGCAGUGUCUUCUUAUACUGACAAUAUUUCCAGUACCAUAGUAGAUGAUUGCAGUCACAAAUUUUUUCUCUCUCAAGUUAUGCUAAUGUAAAAAAAGAAAAUAAAGAUUUUAGGUUUUUUCUUUGAAGAAAAGAAAUUGAAAUAGCGCGAAUGUUAUUUAUUAAGAAACCCAACACGUGAUUUAUUAAAUUCACUAAAAUCAUCAACUUGCCCCAAAUUCACUUUAAUUCACCAGUGAUUUUUGUCAGUUCAGGGCCAAAUCACCUAUUUAAAGGCGAAGAACACAGUAUUUAAAAUGAAGCAUCUAAACCUUAGAUUGCAAUUAUGAUGUGAAUAUUGUAUAUAAA
Sapajus apella (tufted capuchin) is the source of this 439-nucleotide long non-coding RNA. RefSeq lists it as uncharacterized. The transcript has 3 exons. The record is from RefSeq and is a predicted model, not a curated record. NCBI's taxonomy places the organism in Eukaryota, Metazoa, Chordata, Mammalia, Primates, Cebidae.